This is a small nucleolar RNA of Nicotiana attenuata, 105 nucleotides long. It matches the Rfam family "Plant small nucleolar RNA R71". Rfam says of the family: R71 is a member of the C/D box family of snoRNAs containing the C (UGAUGA) and D (CUGA) box motifs. The record is from Rfam. Lineage: Eukaryota; Viridiplantae; Streptophyta; Magnoliopsida; Solanales; Solanaceae.
AUUGUGAUUAGGACAGUCUCUAAGUAGCCCCUUGAACCUCUCCCAAGCUGGGUAUAAAGACUCUCCGUUUUACUGUUUGAAGUACACUAUCUCAGUUCUGAUCUU